GUCUAACGGGCGAGAACACGUCACGCUGCGUGAUGAGCCUAGGGCUCCGCCUUUGGAUUCAACCUGCAGAGCUGAUGAAGCAUUCGUCUUCUCGUGUGACCAGUUUUUAAAUGGUGAACAACUCCAAUCUUCAAGACACCACUGCGUCAUAGCCGCUAUUGUUCUACUACGCAGUUCAGAAUUUCAAGAUCUUGCUUGGUGAAAAUGGCGAUGUGACGGUGUCCAGUUUCUAAAGAUGUCUGAUGCUGCAGGAUCUUCAACCAGCGCUCUGCAAUACUCUCUAGCAGCUGAAAUGAAGGAGGGGCGAGACCUGACUACGUCACCUGCCUGUGCUAGCUUCAACCAGCCUCGCGACUGACACCCACUGCCCCCACACGGGGUGUAAGUGGCUCCCAUCACGCCAAAGUCAACCUCACCUGCUCGCGGUACACCCUGCUAACCCACUAACGAG
Molecule: non-coding RNA, 451 nt
Organism: Spodoptera litura
Lineage: Eukaryota; Metazoa; Arthropoda; Insecta; Lepidoptera; Noctuidae
Source: RefSeq, a predicted model, not a curated record